GCCGCUUUAGUUAAAUGGAUAUAAUAAACCCCUCCUAAGGGUUAGUUGUGAGUUCGAUUCUCGCAAGCGGUGCCA
RNAcentral lists this transfer RNA (75 nucleotides) under Oscillospiraceae bacterium. Its description in RNAcentral is "tRNA-Arg". It matches the Rfam family "tRNA". Rfam says of the family: Transfer RNA (tRNA) molecules are approximately 80 nucleotides in length. Their secondary structure includes four short double-helical elements and three loops (D, anti-codon, and T loops). Lineage: Bacteria; Bacillati; Bacillota; Clostridia; Eubacteriales; Oscillospiraceae. The record is from RNAcentral.